Molecule: long non-coding RNA, 1534 nt
Filed under: Phascolarctos cinereus (koala)
Lineage: Eukaryota; Metazoa; Chordata; Mammalia; Diprotodontia; Phascolarctidae
Description: lncRNA (ENSPCIG00000034795.1)
Source: RNAcentral
GUGGCUUUUUGAGGUCCCUUCCAGACUUGUAUCUUUUUUUUUAAGUGCUAAGAAGACCAGGGUUGGGGGUGUGUUGGGGGUAGGGGUUGCAAUUGGAGAUUUAAAAAAAAAUUAAAAACUUAAAUCAUUAGAGAAUAAUGGUUGGUUUAGGUGUGGCCUUAUGGACAGAAAUGUGCACAAAACCCAGAAAACAUAAACAAGGGAAGCACUGGGAGGUCCCAUUGAAAGGAGCUGAGAGCAGGAGGAGGGGAGACGAUCUCACAGUCUAGUCCUAGAAUGGAGCUAAAUAUUUUUCCUGAUGUCUUUCAAAAAAAAAGUUUUAGCCAUCUUUUAGAGACAGAGAUGAUUGUUGCUAUUUAUGAGCACCAGGUUGCUAGGUGACAUCAUGGAACGUGCACUGUUAAACUGCUACCCACUGAUCUUCUAGGACUAGCAAUGAAGGGUAUACAUGGGGAACCAGAUAGAGGGAAGAAAGUCAGGAAAGGGAAGUGCAAGGGGUUGUAGGGAAGAAAUGAGGCAGGGGGUCCUCUUUUUUGCUUGCCCUUCAUUUUGGUAAAAUGAAUCCCUCUUCAGAAACCCCAGACCCCUCCUCCUCCUCCUCCUCCACACACACACACACACACACAAUUUCCCCUGCUCUUCCGCUUUGGGUCCCCUUGUUACUGGCAGCCUCAUUCGCUGUUAUGACAUUUGGCCUCCUCGGGGAGAAUGAUGGAACAGCUUCUUGCAGAAACAUGACCAAUGAAUCACCCUGGGGAGGAAGCCGAGGAGUCGGCCCCCCACGCACAGAGCCAAGGACCAACAUCGCAGCAGCUAGACUAGGAAGAGAAUAUACCAGAUUGUUGCUUGCUGCUACCUCUUCUCCAAGCAGAACAUUUAUAUAGGUUCAAAUUUCCCUUCCUGAGGCAGUGAAGUAGCCCAGUGGAGACAGCACCGGGCCUAGCGUCAGGAAGACCUGAGUUCAAUCUGACCCCAGACACUUACUAGCUGUGUGACCCUGGGCAAGUCACAUAACUCUGUUUACCUUAGUUUCCUCAACUGUAAAAUGAGCUGGAAAAUGAAAUGGCACAUCACUCCAGUAUCUUUGCUAAGAAAAUCCCAAAUGGGGUCCCUGAAGAAUCGAACAUGAAUGAAAUGAUGGAACACAUGAACAAUUUCCCUUCCUACAAGAAUAGCCAUGUGGCAAAAUGGAUAGCAUACUGGGCCUAAAGUCAGGAAGAUGAGUCUUCCUGAGUUCAAAUAAGGCCUCAGACACUAGCUGUGUGACUGUGGGCAAGUCAUUUACCCCUGUUUGUCUCAGUUUCCUCAUCUGUAAAAUGAGCUGGAGAAGAAAAUGGCAAAACCACUCCAGUACCUCCAGUAUCCAGCCAAGAAAACCUCAAAUGGGUUCACAAAGAGCUGGACAUGACUGAACAACAACAGCAUAAGCAAUACUUUUAGCUGCUAGAAUGCUGCUCACACUUCCCAUGAGAGGUAGUGUGAUGUGGUAGAGAGAAUGUUGAAUAAACAUCAGCAGACCUGGGUUCUAGCCUCA